This 465-nucleotide ribosomal RNA is filed under the name uncultured bacterium. Its description in RNAcentral is "partial 16S ribosomal RNA". It matches the Rfam family "Bacterial small subunit ribosomal RNA", at positions 338 to 795 of the family's 1533-position model. The record is from RNAcentral.
CCUACGGGAGGCUGCAGUGGGGAAUAUUGCGCAAUGGGCGAAAGCCUGACGCAGCGACGCCGCGUGAGGGAUGAAGGUCUUCGGAUCGUUAACCUCUGUCAGCAGGGAAGAACGGUCACUGUGCUAAUCAGCAGUGAAUUGACGGUACCUGCAAAGGAAGCACCGGCUAACUCCGUGCCAGCAGCCGCGGUAAUACGGAGGGUGCGAGCGUUAAUCGGAAUUACUGGGCGUAAAGCGCUCGUAGGCGGUAUGUCAAGUCAAGGGUGAAAUCCCCGCGCUCAACGUGGGAACUGCCUUUGAAACUGGCAAACUGGAGUGUGUGAGAGGAUAGUGGAAUGCCAGGUGUAGGAGUGAAAUCCGUAGAUAUCUGGAGGAACAUCAGUGGCGAAGGCGACUAUCUGGCACAUAACUGACGCUGAGGAGCGAAAGCGUGGGUAGCAAACAGGAUUAGAUACCCGUGUAGUC